RNAcentral lists this ribosomal RNA (319 nucleotides) under Sesamia sp. SEKEG3817. Its description in RNAcentral is "partial 16S large subunit ribosomal RNA". Lineage: Eukaryota; Metazoa; Arthropoda; Insecta; Lepidoptera; Noctuidae. The record is from RNAcentral.
UUAAUUGGUGACUUGUAUGAAGGAUUGGAUGAAAUAUAAGCUGUCUCUUAGGUUAGAUAUAGAAUUUAAUUUUUUAAUUAAAAAGUUAAAAUAAAUUAAAAAGACGAGAAGACCCUAUAGAGUUUUAUAUGUAGGUUAUUUAAGAUUAUUUAGUAAAAUUAAAAUUAAUUUAUUUAUUAUGUUGGGGUGAUAAAAAAAUAUAUUUAACUUUUUUUUUAUGUAAAUACAUUUAUAAGUGAAUAGAUGAUCCAAUAUUAUUGAUUAUAAGAAUAAAUUACCUUAGGGAUAACAGCGUAAUUUUUUUUUUUAGUUCACAUAA